UAAUUUUCCGGCCCAUCUUUCCCACUAAACACUGUUGCUACAAAACUGGGACGUGGGCAGAAUGCAGUUGACGACCUCUCUUAUAUAAUAUAAACCCUUGCAACCAAAUAUCCACCUCCAUACAUCCUUCUGUUUGUUUGCAGUACAAUUCGCAUGUGACCUCCGUAUACAACCAACAAUUAUCGCCCAAUAUCUGAUUGAUAAUCAAGAAAUAUGGCGAUGUCGAGGGCGAGCUCUUGCUUUGCAUACCCUUAUCGUGUCUUCACCGUUGUUGCUUAUGCGGGAUUUGGUGCUCCCCCAAUUCGUCAUCCAAAGGGUCACCUCCAAAUUCUCAAUCGAAGUCGCUUAGUUACGUUACGCCCUUUGUGAGCAGCUCCAUCAUCAGAAAGGAAGUUCAAGAAGAUGAAGACCUUCAAUUAUCAAUGGCAGUUGCUCUACUCUUCUUCUCCUUCCUUCUCAGGGUUUAUCCUGCUGUAAUAUAAACGAGAUUGAUUCAUUUUGGCCUACAUUAUCGUCUUGAGUCUCUUGACUUUAAUCGUCUUUAUCACUGUCGGACUGGAUUCUGAUAACCAGUAGUCAUUGUCGAAGAACAAGGGCACCAAUUGAGGCCGACUUUGUAUCACCUCUGCCAAGAGUAUUAACGUUCACCACACAUGUCUCACCAGUUGAUGUCGGCGCCAUCUUGUGUUUGUUUGUAACUAGCAAUUGACCGCUUCUUCAAGAGCUUGCCAAGCACGGGGUAUAUUUCUUCCAUUUCUUUUUGUCACUCAUAUUUUAUUUCUUUUCUUAUGGAUAUCCAAGAAUGAACACUAUGUAGUUGUAUGAAACACAUAAUUUAUAUUUCACCAUGUCUCCUGUAGGGCUAUCAACUACUUGUAACUAACCGAGCGAAUUAUUUGUAUGUCUUCGGAAACUUUUGGAAAAAUCACAU
This is a long non-coding RNA of Helianthus annuus (common sunflower), 931 nucleotides long. RefSeq lists it as uncharacterized. Lineage: Eukaryota; Viridiplantae; Streptophyta; Magnoliopsida; Asterales; Asteraceae. The record is from RefSeq and is a predicted model, not a curated record. The transcript has 3 exons.